Molecule: non-coding RNA, 27 nt
Filed under: Mus musculus (house mouse)
Lineage: Eukaryota; Metazoa; Chordata; Mammalia; Rodentia; Muridae
Source: RNAcentral
UGCAGAGGUGACCCUACCUAACUCUGU